RNAcentral lists this long non-coding RNA (395 nucleotides) under Medicago truncatula (barrel medic). RNAcentral's name for it is "long non-coding RNA (MTRU_LNC001847)". Lineage: Eukaryota; Viridiplantae; Streptophyta; Magnoliopsida; Fabales; Fabaceae. The record is from RNAcentral.
UUCGUUUUAGUCCUUUUGUUGAUUUUAUUUUAGGUUUCACUUUACUUUUUUUUCCAACUUACCAAUUUUAAUUCAAUUUUAUUUUUAAUUGCAUUCUGGUCCCUCAAACAAGUUUCCAGAAUUGCACUUUAGUCCAAAACUUUUUAAAAUUGCAUUUUAGUCCAUUAUUAUUAAUUGCAGUUUAGUCCUCAAUUUUACUUUUUUGCAGAAAGGUCCCUAGGUCACAACAAGUCCAAGGCCGAGCCAUACAAGUCCAGGUGUCACCAUUUCAUUGGAUCUCAAGUACAAGUGGCAGCUUAUAAAUAGUGCACAGUGUCAGAGAAAUCCACAGAGACCCAUUCAAUCAGUGCCAACUCACAAACACGUGAGAAGAUUCUCUCUCUUGGCAGUUAGGA